Long non-coding RNA from Quercus lobata, 3108 nucleotides. RefSeq lists it as uncharacterized. The transcript is spliced from 4 exons. The record is from RefSeq and is a predicted model, not a curated record. Lineage: Eukaryota; Viridiplantae; Streptophyta; Magnoliopsida; Fagales; Fagaceae.
UUCAUUUCUUGCCCAAAAUUUUCAGCAACACUUUCCCUCUUUCUCACUUCCCUCUCUCCACCUCCUCCCACAUUUCAUCUACUUCAUCCCUAGUGGCAUUUAAGAAUCGGAACUGAAGCAUUGAACCAUUUAUGAGAUGAACAAUCCGUGAUCGAAGACAAAAUACCGAGGCGUGUUAGAAUCUUCAUCGGCGAGUUAGAGCUCUAGCACCGUUGUCCAUACCAAGCCCUUUUAUUUUCGUGAUCUUCUCCCAGGCGCAAUAUAUAUCUCUCUCUCCCUCUCCAUUUUCCAUGUCCAUUGUCUGAUUUGGGUAGUUUUAAUUUCCAUUUUAUUAAUUUUGUUGGAAUUAUUUUGGAUGUGAAAAUGGGUUUUUCUCCAUAGAUUGAUGUUGAUGACCGUUUUUUUUUAUACUAGUAAUUACUUGCUUUGUGUGAAAAUCGAAGGAAAAUAAACUCAAAUCAGUUCAACUUAUAUAUCUAUCCUUACAUAUCCUUUGUUUGAUUUUGUAGAAAUGAAAAAUUAACUAAAAUUUUUUCUGUUUUCCUCUUUCAAUUGACUAAAGUGGACCCUUUUAACUUCUCAUGUAAAAGGCUUAAGCUUUAUUGUCCUAUCUUUUCUCAAAGAUCAAACAGGUUCCUAUCAUAGGUAUUCACUUCAUUAUCUUUAAAUCUUUCUUUUUUGUUUGUUAUUUUAUCGAUUAGCAAGCCACCAUUGCAAAUGCCAUUACCAGUGCAAGCAUUAGCUGCCCUGGUUGCGCAUGCCCUUGCCAGUCCAUUUAAAAUAGUGUCCACAUGCAUUUAGUGCUCUGCUUUUGCCACUGCAUCAGCUACUCUGCUUAUACACAUGCUUUGGGUGUUUGGAGAAGUAGAUGUGAAGCUGUGGGUUUGGAUAUAUGUUAGUUUGUGUGCUCCAUACAAUUUUAUAGAAAAAAUUUGUGUGCUUAUGUUGUAGUUUGUGUGAUUUUGCUGUAUUGAGACAUGUUAGAAAAAAAAAAUGCUAAAAUGAGUUAAAUGCUUGCUUUACAUCAUUGAUAACAUAGAUUCCAUGUAACUAAUCUAUGUCAGUGUGGUUCUUAUAUAUAUAUAUAUAUAUAUUUGUCCAAAGAUGAAAGACUUCAUAUAAUUCCUUUUUUGAGCAUAUGAUAUUGUUUGGCAUAUAAUUCCUUUUAUAGGCAUAUACGUUGUACAAACUUAAAUUACCACCAAGUAUUAUUCAAUAAUGUAUAAUAUUAAUAUUCAUUUUCUCAGAAUAUGAUACUGUUUGGCAGAUUAUUAAGGCUUCAUGAUCACAUGAUUAGCCCCUUGCCCAUGCCUGAUAAUAAAUAAGAUGUCCAACACUUUUAUUUCAAUAAUUUUCCAUGAUAUAAUUACUUCAAAACAAUCACCCCCCCCCCCCCCCCCCCCAAAAAAAUAGCUUGUAGUCUCAACUAAAGAUGAGAUGAUUUACACCUCACCCUUUUAUUCCAUAGUAUACCAGUAAAGGAUCCAAGUGGGCCAUUCAUAAAACUAUUAAUAUAUAUAUGUAUAUAUUAUAACAUAUGCAAUUGUGUUGGGAUAAUUGUCUUAGAUAGCACAUGAAACUCAGGAUGCUGACGAUAAAAUGUGGCCUCCCCACAUUGAACACAUUUUAUUGACAUUAUGGUGGAUGAACAAUUGAAGGGGGAUAUGGAAUAUGGUAUCUUUAAGGUUACAACUUGGCAAUCAAUUACAAAAACCCUAAAUGAGCAAAUUGAGAAAAGUUUCCUCCUUAAGCAAGUGAUCCAAAAGCAUAAUAGGCUCAGGCAAUAAAGAAAGUGGGGCCAGCUUUUGAGGCAUACCGAGUUGAGUUGGGAUGAGACAAUCCAAACAGUUAUUGCUUCUAAGGAGGUGUGAACGUAUGUUGUUGUGGAUGAUCUUAAAGCACUUGCAUUACGAAAGAAGGGAUGUCCUAACUAUGGCAAGUUAAGGCAACUAUUUGCCCCUAAUAUUGCAAAUGGUGCCCUUCAAAUUUCCUUAAACACACCAACCCCAGAUAGUGAUGAAGAGUGUGCCUUGGGUUGGGAUGAGACAAUCCAAACAGUUAUUGCUUCUAAGGAGGUGUGAACGUAUGUUGUUGUGGAUGAUCUUAAAGCACUUGCAUUACGAAAGAAGGGAUGUCCUAACUAUGGCAAGUUAAGGCAACUAUUUGCCCCUAAUAUUGCAAAUGGUGCCCUUCAAAUUUCCUUAAACACACCAACCCCAGAUAGUGAUGAAGAGUGUGCCUUGGGUUGGGAUGAGACAAUCCAAACAGUUAUUGCUUCUAAGGAGGUGUGAACGUAUGUUGUUGUGGAUGAUCUUAAAGCACUUGCAUUACGAAAGAAGGGAUGUCCUAACUAUGGCAAGUUAAGGCAACUGUUUGCCCCUAAUAUUGCAAAUGGUGCCCUUCAAAUUUCCUUAAACACACCAACCCCAGAUAGUGAUGAACAGUGUGCCUUGGAGGAGGAGCUUGCCAAUGAGGCUCAUCGUACCUAGUUGGGUAAUGAUGAUUGCUACAAUCCUAACAUAGAGGGCAUAUCUUAAGAUGAUCCCUCUUUUACUGAGCAAACCCAACAUGCGAACAAACGUCCCAUUGAAGAGCCUAUUGGCAAAGGGAAGAAGGUUGCCAAGAAAGGGGAUAGGGCUAGUAAGAUGACUAUGGUUCUUCAAGAGUACACUGCGUUGGCAAGGGAAAUUUUUUCCAACAAAAAGGGAAGGUCUAUUGGUAGCUCCGACCAUGGUGCACAAUCCACUGGUGGUGGCGAUCCUUGCCCCUUUGGGAGAGCUUUUGAAGUGCUGAACCUGUAUGAAGAUCUUGAUGAUGACACCUACGUUAACAUCUCUGAAGUUCUCCAAAAAAAAGAGAAAAUGGUGGUGUUCAUGGGCAUGCCAGAGCAUAGGUGGAGGAGGUGGAUGGAGUGCUAUGCUAAUCAGCCAAAUGAUUAAUGGAGACUCCUUUUGUUAUGUUGUUUAUUGUGAUUUGGAUGUGAAUCACUUGGUUGUAACUUUUAAGUGGUAUUUAAGGACUUUAUGUGUGUUCUUGGACAAUCUUGGACGUUAGGUUUUAUUUGUCUUAUUCAGCUGAACACUUUUACUUAAUGUUGUUUUAUUGUAA